RNAcentral lists this ribosomal RNA (715 nucleotides) under Pseudomonas aeruginosa. RNAcentral describes it as "partial 23S ribosomal RNA". It matches the Rfam family "Bacterial large subunit ribosomal RNA", at positions 1 to 774 of the family's 2925-position model. Lineage: Bacteria; Pseudomonadati; Pseudomonadota; Gammaproteobacteria; Pseudomonadales; Pseudomonadaceae. The record is from RNAcentral.
GGUCAAGCGAAUAAGCGCACACGGUGGAUGCCUUGGCGGUCAGAGGCGAUGAAGGACGUGGCAGCCUGCGAAAAGUAUCGGGGAGCUGGCAACAAGCUUUGAUCCGGUAAUGUCCGAAUGGGGAAACCCACCCGCUUGCGGGUAUCCUGCAGUGAAUACAUAGCUGCUGGAAGCGAACCUGGUGAACUGAAAUAUCUAAGUAACCAGAGGAAAAGAAAUCAACCGAGAUUCCGUAAGUAGCGACGAGCGAACGCGGACUAGCCCUUAAGCUGGAUUGGUUCUAGGAAAACGCUCUGGAAAGAGUGGCCAUAGAAGGUGAUAGCCCUGUAUCUGAAAGGGCCAUUCCAGUGAAGACGAGUAGGGCGGGGCACGUGAAACCCUGUCUGAACAUGGGGGGACCAUCCUCCAAGGCUAAAUACUACUGACCGACCGAUAGUGAACCAGUACCGUGAGGGAAAGGCGAAAAGAACCCCGGAGAGGGGAGUGAAAUAGAACCUGAAACCGUGUGCGUACAAGCAGUAGGAGCUCCGCAAGGAGUGACUGCGUACCUUUUGUAUAAUGGGUCAGCGACUUACUGUUCGUGGCAAGCUUAACCGUAUAGGGGAGGCGAAGGGAAACCGAGUCUGAUAAGGGCGCAUAGUCGCGGGCAGUAGACCCGAAACCGGGUGAUCUAGUCAUGCCCAGGGUGAAGGUGCGGUAACACGCACUGGAGGCC